RNAcentral lists this ribosomal RNA (655 nucleotides) under Nostoc sp. BGN25. RNAcentral's name for it is "bacterial SSU rRNA". It matches the Rfam family "Bacterial small subunit ribosomal RNA", at positions 104 to 784 of the family's 1533-position model. Lineage: Bacteria; Bacillati; Cyanobacteriota; Cyanophyceae; Nostocales; Nostocaceae. The record is from RNAcentral.
GGGUGAGUAACGCGUGAGAAAUCUAGCUUCAGGUCUGGGACAACCACCUGGAAACGGUGGCUAAUACCGGAUGUGCCGGAAAGGUGAAAGGCUUGCUGCCUGAAGAUGAGCUCGCGUCCGAUUAGCUAGUAGGUGGGGUAAGAGCCUACCUAGGCGACGAUCGGUAGCUGGUCUGAGAGGAUGACCAGCCACACUGGGACUGAGACACGGCCCAGACUCCUACGGGAGGCAGCAGUGGGGAAUUUUCCGCAAUGGGCGAAAGCCUGACGGAGCAAUACCGCGUGAGGGAGGAAGGCUCUUGGGUUGUAAACCUCUUUUCUCAGGGAAGAACACAAUGACGGUACCUGAGGAAUCAGCAUCNGGCUAACUCCGUGCCAGCAGCCNGCGGUNAAUACGGAGGAUGCAAGCGUUAUCCGGAAUGAUUGGGCGUAAAGCGUCCGCAGGUGGCUGUGUAAGUCUGCUGUCAAAGAGCAAAGCUCAACUUUGUAAAGGCAGUGGAAACUACACGGCUAGAGUGCGUUCGGGGGCAGAGGGAAUUCCUGGGUGUAGCGGUGAAAUGCGUAGAGAUCAGGAAGAACACCGGUGGCGAAGGCGCUCUGCUAGGCCGCAACUGACACUGAGGGACGAAAGCUAGGGGAGCGAAUGGGAUUAGAUA